UUUAAGGUUAGCAGACAAAGAUUUUCCUGUUGGAUCACUUUUUACACUUAUGAUUGUGUAGCCAUAACCAACUUGUGUUUCUUUUGAUGGUGAAUCUGCAACAGUUUGGGAUAAGAUGACAAAAACAUUGAAACAGAAAGCUAGUAGUGGUAGUAGAAUGUUGCUGGUUUUAGUUCUUGGACUUGUAACCAUUUUGUUUGUGUUGAUGUGUUUAUUGUCUGUGGGAGACAAUUGAAAAUAAUCAUCAAUUUAUGUUUUGUAUACAAGAUUGGUUGAUCUAGGAGAAAACAAUGAAUGAUGGAGACAAGCCAUGUUGACUUAAAAGAUAAGAUGACAUUGUUACUAACAUUUUCCACUAAGAAGUAACAAUAGUUUUUUUUUUCUUCUUUUUUUAUUGCAAAUGUUACUAAAUUCUCCUUUGUGAGAAGAUUUUUAACUGUAGUAUUUUAACCCUACUUGAAAGGAGGUGACCUUAACUCUUUGUACUAACAAUUUUUUUGAGAGGACCACCACUUGAAAGGAUAUGAUCCAUCUUUAAACUAACCCUACUUGAAAGGAGGUGACCUUAACUCUUUCUACUAACAAUAGUUAAUAUGAUGGCGACUAUGUAAAUUGACUACUAGACAAAGAUGGGCAAUCACCAUUUUUCUUGUUCUUUUUGUUAUUAAAAAACAUAAUUAAUGAUAGCAGAUUUUUAUAUUAUAAAUUUCUAUUAAUAUGAUCGCAAAGGUUGAUCGAACUGAAAAAACCACUAGUCCAGCUCAAUGAUGGAGAGUGUUACCUGCAAACACUUGGCGCUCACAUCGCCAAGAGAAACCAUUGAGUAGUGUGUGUGUGUGUUCUCCUCGUGUGUCCCUCUCAUGUCAACGUGGCUCAUUCUUUGUUUCCUCCUACAUGAACUAACCUCUAUAAAUUUGUAGUUAUAGUCAUAGUUUUAAGAACCGGCCGGUUCAACCGUGAACCAUACCCAUUACCGGUUUGAGCCAGCUAUUGGAUCGGCCAUGUUAUUGACUCGGCUGCCACGUCAUAAACAAAGCUUAUAGCAUAAAAAAUUACAUACAAUACAAGUGUUUAUAUGUAAGCUAUUUCUAUAGGUUUAUGAGGCGUUAGCUCGAUGAUAAUAAUCUGACCUGCAAUUGCAAGAGACGGAGUUCAAAUUCAUGAGACAAUUGUAAAAUGGACAUUAACGCCACCAUAAUUUUAAUAAUAUUUCUCCUUCCCCAUUUUUUUUUAAAAUUGUUCCUUUUAAUAAACAACUAUUUCGAUAGCGAAAUAUAAAAUGAGGUCUGACUGUUUUCACAAGAUUAGCAUAGAGAGCUUGUGCAAAUAAUCCAAAAACAAUUUAUGAAUAUGUCAUAAACUGUUUUCAUAAGCUCUCGUAAACAAUCUCAAAUGUUUGUCGCGCAAUAAGCUCAAAUGGGACAAUUCAACCAGAUGUUGAUGAAUGUAUGGAAAAGGAAAGAAACACUUGAGAUAAUAUAAAUCAACUAAAUCUUGAGAUAAUAUAUAGAUUUGAUAGACAAAUAUAACUAUACUAGAUGAUACUUAUUUCUGAUCCCUUGUAGCAACCUUAACUAAGGUAAAACAAGGGACUCUUCAAAGAAGUAAAACUACUAAGAAAACACAUAUUAUUUUUGGAAAUUGCAUUCUCAAAUUUCCUUCUACCUUAUUUUAGUCUUCAGUUCAAACUGCUCUCCAAUAAGCUGUUUCAAAUUUGAAACUUCCACAGUAACAAACUUAGAAGACCUAUCAAAUUUUGUGAUCAAAACUCUUUUCCUCGUUGAAUUCAUUCCACUCACAACAUUUAACUCACUCUCAGCCAAAUCAUUUCCAUUUAACCUACCAUAAUUAGGUAUCCCCAAGAAUGUAACCUUUUCUAUGGUCCAUUUUUGGUCCAAAGCAAAUUUUCCAUUAGUAACAUUAGAAGUAACAGAAACACUGUCAUUAUUAUACAGUGCACCAUAAAAUCUCACAAGUGUCCAUUGAUCUUUCUCUCCUUCUAGAUCAAGAGCCUCACCAUCAUCCAAAUAAACUUGUCCAUAACUAUUUCCAUUUCCACUAAAAACAACCAAUAGUUCGAAUGCGGUGUUUCGAGCUGCUUUCGUUGUCAUUGCUUCACCUUGUAAGGCCAAAAUGUUACCUUCACCAACAUGCACAUUUAUGUGAUCAGAUGGUGCAUCAAGUGUGACAUAUUUGCCUGAUUCUGCACUCACUGAAUUUGAAGGAUUAAAGAGAUCAAACCAAUUUCCUUUAGGAAAGUAUGCAUCAACAGUAACUGCACCAGAUUGUAGCACAGGUGAGACUAGAACACCAUUGCCUAAUAGAAACUGCGAGUUUAUUUCGUAUGUUGUGAUAUCCUCGGGGAAUGAAAAGAAAAGUGGCCGCGCAAUUGGUGUCCCUUUUGUGUUUGAUUCGUACAUUAGUGUGUAGAAAUAUGGAAGAAGGCGGUAACGAAGGGCGAGCACUUUUCGAGCUGAUGCUGCAACUGAAUCCCAAAGGUAAAGCUCUUGCCUGAUGGAACUUUUAUCUGAAUGAUCUCUUGCAAAGGGGUAGAAGGCCCCUAACUACAUUCAAGAAAAUAAAAAAGUAUUAGAUAUGCAUGCAAUGAUGGAAAUAUUUUCCAUCAGGGUUUUAAAAACUUAGGUACUGUUCUAUAGAAACUGUUCCUACUGUUCUCAACUUACAGAUAGUGUAACUGUCACCAACAAUUUUGAAUGGAUGUGAAAAACUGUCCUUUUUGUUAGAAAAAGUAAGAGUACAGCACACAUUGAAUCUAAGUUUAGUCCUUUAAAGAAAGGCCUACCGCGCGAUGUGGAAAGUGACAUUAAGAUUUUUUAUGUUUAUACGACUGCAAUUGCGGCUUUAUCACCACGAUUCUCUGAAAUAUAAGAAUCGCAGCGUGUCUGCAAUUUAAAACCUUUCUUUACCUGUAGCCAAAAAUCACAGCUCUAUCCAUGUGUAACUUUUAUAAAUUUAGUCUAGUGAAAAAGUUGUGGAUGCUAUCCGAUUUUGAGGAUCAAUGUUUGUUACCUGAAUCCAGCGCCGACAAAGUUCUUCAGUAGUGUCUGCUGAGAAGCCGCAUAUAUCCGCUCCAACCAUAGGAACUCCAAAGAUUCCAAAGUUUAAUAUUGAUGGGAUUGAGUAUGCUAAAUCAUUCCAUGUAGCAGCAUUAUCUCCUGUCCAAUGAGCUGUAUACUUGCCAGAGCUAACAAAAGUUGAUCUACUCAAAAUGAAUGGUCUUUUACUAGUUAUUUCCACUAAGGCCCUGUUGGUUGUUUUGGAUUCUAAGAGACCAUACAAAUUGUGAGAAUCAUACUCAGUGAUAUUACCAUAAUGUAAAGAAGUUGCUGGCACCGUUUUAUUGUUGAUUGGUCGUUGAACGCCAGUACUGUUAAUUUUGUAAGGAGGGCUGUCAAGAUUAGAAUGAGGAGUGUCAUUCGAAGUUAUGAAAUUUGAUAACUCAUUCAUGUCAAGCCAAAUACCAUCAAAAGGGAGAAGUUCCCUAAAUAAUUUGAUUUCUUCACCCCAAAAUUCUUGGCUAUGAGGGUUAAGAAAAUCAGGAUAGUAAACUGGUCCUGGCCAAACUUCACCUAGAUAAUUGACUCCAUUUCUCUUUAGAUAGACAUCAGCUUGUAAGCCUCUAACAUAGGUUGCAUAUGUGUUAUUUACACUGAUACCUGUGUACAAAAAAGCAAUGACAUGUGCAUAUAUAUAUAUAUUUUUUUGAAUGGCAAAUAUAUAAUAUAGAAAAAGAACACACUGUACAAGAUACACCAACAGGACCAUCAAAAGAUGGUCCAAAGAGACCCCAGAAAACCCCCGACACAAAUGGAGAGCCGGGAAGAGAUCCGAAUGGAAGCACCAAAUAAACACCAAAAGCAAACAAAAAGAAAACUACACCAAAUAAAAGGAAAACAGAACAAAACACCACUGAAACCAACACCAGGCAGGUCAGGAAAGGAGGGCAAAGAAACACUGCGAAAGCUGGCCAGAAGGGGAGGAGGCAGGGAACCCCCACCCAACCCCCCACGCGAGCCAAGGCACACCACUCCCAGAACACCCUACCGAUGCCAGCACAGGAACCAUAAGAGUAAGACAUUGUUGUCGAUAGCGGAUUAUGGAAAAUAGAGGAACACCAAAAUUCCACUAUGUGAAAUAGGGGAUAGUGUUGCUGGAAAAUAGUGAAAGUCGCAUAGGGUUGAAAUAAGUCAAUUUUUUAUGAAAAAGGGCAAGCUGCAUACAGAUAAGAAAAAGAAUGGAGGCAAAGCAUAUCUUCUACACUGGAAGGUUUAAUUAUUACUGUUAAUAUAAGAGUAAUGCUCACCUAAUCUUCGGUUUUCUAUAGUAAAAGUAGGCCAUGUUUGGCCCAUAUGCAGAUUCUUCGGUUUUGUUUCUAAAAAAGACCCUAAAAUUCUCUUUUUCCAUUAUUACUGCUACAUCAGCUAGCAAAAACUGGAAUAGCGGGGCGGCUAUUGCGCUAAUAGUGUUGUGGUUUCCAUAGAGGAAUCACCAAAAUCCACUAUGUUACAGAGCUGCUAUUGCGGCGGCUAUUUGAUGACGCUGGAGCAGAAUAUGUUUAGUUUAGAAUUUGGUACCUGGAUCCAAGAUAAGCACAUAUUUCUGACCAUUUUUGUGAAGAGUAUCAACAAAAUUUCUCAUCUUAUCUUUCGGAAAAUUAACAGGAUCUAGAGUGAAAUCUUUAUAUGCAUCCAUGUAAUCAAUAUCUGUCCACAUAACUUCGAGGGGUAUACCAGCUUUUGCAUAGUUGGUUACUACACCCUGAACAUCAUUUACAUUCUUGUAUCCCCAUCGACAUUGAUGAAAACCUUCACAAAGAGUUAACAAUGAUGUGGAUUAGCAUAGCAAAUUGAUAUAAUUAAUCACCGUGAAUAUAAUACAAUAGAAAGACAAUUGCAAUAAACUGGUGUUAGAUUUUAAUGCCUGGAGCCCUGAACUAAUGCAUAGAAAUUUCAUAAAGUACAAUUCAAUGACUAUAGACCUUUAUAUGGUUUAAUUUUUUAUCAUCUAUGUCUAGGCCAUUCCUAACUUAAUAGGGGCUUGUCCUCCACACUUUAGUUUUCAACACCUAUAAACACAUUCUUUCAAGUUUCAUAGCAUUGGCUUUAUAUUUUGUAACUGUGGUUUGCAACAACGGUUACGGCCACAACGUAAGGGAUUCUAAAACUUCUACAACUGCAAUUCAAAAUACUAGAAGAAAAAAAAUUCAGUAGAACACCUUGAUAGAAGGUCGACUCUAGACCAGAACCUGAAAAUUUAUUCAAAACACCAAUGACAUUUGACAGGACUCAUCAUCCCCACGACUGAGUGGUUGACCUUAUCGGUGUUAGUUAGACAGAAAUACGAGUUGAGUUUUGAGCCACACAUAUCAAUUAUAUCUUGUUUGUUCCAAAUUGUAACCAAUCAGGUCACUAUCUCAGACGUUACAACAAGGAGGAAUAUGAAAUUCUACUCCCGAAAACCAAUAUCAGUCAUUGCUGAAGUUUCAAACGAUUUUUGAGUACUGAUCCACGAGUCGUGGAUCAGUACUUGAAAUUGUACACGACUGACCACGACUGGCCGCCUAUUAAAAUUGUACACCUUAUAACUUGCUAUAAACACUUGAGUAGUUGAGUUUCAACAAGUAAAACAACUAGAACUACAAGGACAAAAAGGAUUGAAAAAUUCAACAAUCCAUGCUGGACUUACCAAAAGACCAAUAAGGCAUAGGAGCAGGCCUACCAAUGAACUGAGUAUACUGAUCCAAAACCAAUUCAGGAGAUGAACCAGCAAAAAAAUACAAAUCAAAAACACCACCAAUCACCUUAUAAGUAAGACGAUCACCGCUAUAAACAACAUCCAUUCCAUUACUAUUAAGAAGUAAAACNUGUGGGAGACAAUUGAAAAUAAUCAUCAAUUUAUGUUUUGUAUACAAGAUUGGUUGAUCUAGGAGAAAACAAUGAAUGAUGGAGACAAGCCAUGUUGACUUAAAAGAUAAGAUGACAUUGUUACUAACAUUUUCCACUAAGAAGUAACAAUAGUUUUUUUUUUCUUCUUUUUUUAUUGCAAAUGUUACUAAAUUCUCCUUUGUGAGAAGAUUUUUAACUGUAGUAUUUUAACCCUACUUGAAAGGAGGUGACCUUAACUCUUUGUACUAACAAUUUUUUUGAGAGGACCACCACUUGAAAGGAUAUGAUCCAUCUUUAAACUAACCCUACUUGAAAGGAGGUGACCUUAACUCUUUCUACUAACAAUAGUUAAUAUGAUGGCGACUAUGUAAAUUGACUACUAGACAAAGAUGGGCAAUCACCAUUUUUCUUGUUCUUUUUGUUAUUAAAAAACAUAAUUAAUGAUAGCAGAUUUUUAUAUUAUAAAUUUCUAUUAAUAUGAUCGCAAAGGUUGAUCGAACUGAAAAAACCACUAGUCCAGCUCAAUGAUGGAGAGUGUUACCUGCAAACACUUGGCGCUCACAUCGCCAAGAGAAACCAUUGAGUAGUGUGUGUGUGUGUUCUCCUCGUGUGUCCCUCUCAUGUCAACGUGGCUCAUUCUUUGUUUCCUCCUACAUGAACUAACCUCUAUAAAUUUGUAGUUAUAGUCAUAGUUUUAAGAACCGGCCGGUUCAACCGUGAACCAUACCCAUUACCGGUUUGAGCCAGCUAUUGGAUCGGCCAUGUUAUUGACUCGGCUGCCACGUCAUAAACAAAGCUUAUAGCAUAAAAAAUUACAUACAAUACAAGUGUUUAUAUGUAAGCUAUUUCUAUAGGUUUAUGAGGCGUUAGCUCGAUGAUAAUAAUCUGACCUGCAAUUGCAAGAGACGGAGUUCAAAUUCAUGAGACAAUUGUAAAAUGGACAUUAACGCCACCAUAAUUUUAAUAAUAUUUCUCCUUCCCCAUUUUUUUUUAAAAUUGUUCCUUUUAAUAAACAACUAUUUCGAUAGCGAAAUAUAAAAUGAGGUCUGACUGUUUUCACAAGAUUAGCAUAGAGAGCUUGUGCAAAUAAUCCAAAAACAAUUUAUGAAUAUGUCAUAAACUGUUUUCAUAAGCUCUCGUAAACAAUCUCAAAUGUUUGUCGCGCAAUAAGCUCAAAUGGGACAAUUCAACCAGAUGUUGAUGAAUGUAUGGAAAAGGAAAGAAACACUUGAGAUAAUAUAAAUCAACUAAAUCUUGAGAUAAUAUAUAGAUUUGAUAGACAAAUAUAACUAUACUAGAUGAUACUUAUUUCUGAUCCCUUGUAGCAACCUUAACUAAGGUAAAACAAGGGACUCUUCAAAGAAGUAAAACUACUAAGAAAACACAUAUUAUUUUUGGAAAUUGCAUUCUCAAAUUUCCUUCUACCUUAUUUUAGUCUUCAGUUCAAACUGCUCUCCAAUAAGCUGUUUCAAAUUUGAAACUUCCACAGUAACAAACUUAGAAGACCUAUCAAAUUUUGUGAUCAAAACUCUUUUCCUCGUUGAAUUCAUUCCACUCACAACAUUUAACUCACUCUCAGCCAAAUCAUUUCCAUUUAACCUACCAUAAUUAGGUAUCCCCAAGAAUGUAACCUUUUCUAUGGUCCAUUUUUGGUCCAAAGCAAAUUUUCCAUUAGUAACAUUAGAAGUAACAGAAACACUGUCAUUAUUAUACAGUGCACCAUAAAAUCUCACAAGUGUCCAUUGAUCUUUCUCUCCUUCUAGAUCAAGAGCCUCACCAUCAUCCAAAUAAACUUGUCCAUAACUAUUUCCAUUUCCACUAAAAACAACCAAUAGUUCGAAUGCGGUGUUUCGAGCUGCUUUCGUUGUCAUUGCUUCACCUUGUAAGGCCAAAAUGUUACCUUCACCAACAUGCACAUUUAUGUGAUCAGAUGGUGCAUCAAGUGUGACAUAUUUGCCUGAUUCUGCACUCACUGAAUUUGAAGGAUUAAAGAGAUCAAACCAAUUUCCUUUAGGAAAGUAUGCAUCAACAGUAACUGCACCAGAUUGUAGCACAGGUGAGACUAGAACACCAUUGCCUAAUAGAAACUGCGAGUUUAUUUCGUAUGUUGUGAUAUCCUCGGGGAAUGAAAAGAAAAGUGGCCGCGCAAUUGGUGUCCCUUUUGUGUUUGAUUCGUACAUUAGUGUGUAGAAAUAUGGAAGAAGGCGGUAACGAAGGGCGAGCACUUUUCGAGCUGAUGCUGCAACUGAAUCCCAAAGGUAAAGCUCUUGCCUGAUGGAACUUUUAUCUGAAUGAUCUCUUGCAAAGGGGUAGAAGGCCCCUAACUACAUUCAAGAAAAUAAAAAAGUAUUAGAUAUGCAUGCAAUGAUGGAAAUAUUUUCCAUCAGGGUUUUAAAAACUUAGGUACUGUUCUAUAGAAACUGUUCCUACUGUUCUCAACUUACAGAUAGUGUAACUGUCACCAACAAUUUUGAAUGGAUGUGAAAAACUGUCCUUUUUGUUAGAAAAAGUAAGAGUACAGCACACAUUGAAUCUAAGUUUAGUCCUUUAAAGAAAGGCCUACCGCGCGAUGUGGAAAGUGACAUUAAGAUUUUUUAUGUUUAUACGACUGCAAUUGCGGCUUUAUCACCACGAUUCUCUGAAAUAUAAGAAUCGCAGCGUGUCUGCAAUUUAAAACCUUUCUUUACCUGUAGCCAAAAAUCACAGCUCUAUCCAUGUGUAACUUUUAUAAAUUUAGUCUAGUGAAAAAGUUGUGGAUGCUAUCCGAUUUUGAGGAUCAAUGUUUGUUACCUGAAUCCAGCGCCGACAAAGUUCUUCAGUAGUGUCUGCUGAGAAGCCGCAUAUAUCCGCUCCAACCAUAGGAACUCCAAAGAUUCCAAAGUUUAAUAUUGAUGGGAUUGAGUAUGCUAAAUCAUUCCAUGUAGCAGCAUUAUCUCCUGUCCAAUGAGCUGUAUACUUGCCAGAGCUAACAAAAGUUGAUCUACUCAAAAUGAAUGGUCUUUUACUAGUUAUUUCCACUAAGGCCCUGUUGGUUGUUUUGGAUUCUAAGAGACCAUACAAAUUGUGAGAAUCAUACUCAGUGAUAUUACCAUAAUGUAAAGAAGUUGCUGGCACCGUUUUAUUGUUGAUUGGUCGUUGAACGCCAGUACUGUUAAUUUUGUAAGGAGGGCUGUCAAGAUUAGAAUGAGGAGUGUCAUUCGAAGUUAUGAAAUUUGAUAACUCAUUCAUGUCAAGCCAAAUACCAUCAAAAGGGAGAAGUUCCCUAAAUAAUUUGAUUUCUUCACCCCAAAAUUCUUGGCUAUGAGGGUUAAGAAAAUCAGGAUAGUAAACUGGUCCUGGCCAAACUUCACCUAGAUAAUUGACUCCAUUUCUCUUUAGAUAGACAUCAGCUUGUAAGCCUCUAACAUAGGUUGCAUAUGUGUUAUUUACACUGAUACCUGUGUACAAAAAAGCAAUGACAUGUGCAUAUAUAUAUAUAUUUUUUUGAAUGGCAAAUAUAUAAUAUAGAAAAAGAACACACUGUACAAGAUACACCAACAGGACCAUCAAAAGAUGGUCCAAAGAGACCCCAGAAAACCCCCGACACAAAUGGAGAGCCGGGAAGAGAUCCGAAUGGAAGCACCAAAUAAACACCAAAAGCAAACAAAAAGAAAACUACACCAAAUAAAAGGAAAACAGAACAAAACACCACUGAAACCAACACCAGGCAGGUCAGGAAAGGAGGGCAAAGAAACACUGCGAAAGCUGGCCAGAAGGGGAGGAGGCAGGGAACCCCCACCCAACCCCCCACGCGAGCCAAGGCACACCACUCCCAGAACACCCUACCGAUGCCAGCACAGGAACCAUAAGAGUAAGACAUUGUUGUCGAUAGCGGAUUAUGGAAAAUAGAGGAACACCAAAAUUCCACUAUGUGAAAUAGGGGAUAGUGUUGCUGGAAAAUAGUGAAAGUCGCAUAGGGUUGAAAUAAGUCAAUUUUUUAUGAAAAAGGGCAAGCUGCAUACAGAUAAGAAAAAGAAUGGAGGCAAAGCAUAUCUUCUACACUGGAAGGUUUAAUUAUUACUGUUAAUAUAAGAGUAAUGCUCACCUAAUCUUCGGUUUUCUAUAGUAAAAGUAGGCCAUGUUUGGCCCAUAUGCAGAUUCUUCGGUUUUGUUUCUAAAAAAGACCCUAAAAUUCUCUUUUUCCAUUAUUACUGCUACAUCAGCUAGCAAAAACUGGAAUAGCGGGGCGGCUAUUGCGCUAAUAGUGUUGUGGUUUCCAUAGAGGAAUCACCAAAAUCCACUAUGUUACAGAGCUGCUAUUGCGGCGGCUAUUUGAUGACGCUGGAGCAGAAUAUGUUUAGUUUAGAAUUUGGUACCUGGAUCCAAGAUAAGCACAUAUUUCUGACCAUUUUUGUGAAGAGUAUCAACAAAAUUUCUCAUCUUAUCUUUCGGAAAAUUAACAGGAUCUAGAGUGAAAUCUUUAUAUGCAUCCAUGUAAUCAAUAUCUGUCCACAUAACUUCGAGGGGUAUACCAGCUUUUGCAUAGUUGGUUACUACACCCUGAACAUCAUUUACAUUCUUGUAUCCCCAUCGACAUUGAUGAAAACCUUCACAAAGAGUUAACAAUGAUGUGGAUUAGCAUAGCAAAUUGAUAUAAUUAAUCACCGUGAAUAUAAUACAAUAGAAAGACAAUUGCAAUAAACUGGUGUUAGAUUUUAAUGCCUGGAGCCCUGAACUAAUGCAUAGAAAUUUCAUAAAGUACAAUUCAAUGACUAUAGACCUUUAUAUGGUUUAAUUUUUUAUCAUCUAUGUCUAGGCCAUUCCUAACUUAAUAGGGGCUUGUCCUCCACACUUUAGUUUUCAACACCUAUAAACACAUUCUUUCAAGUUUCAUAGCAUUGGCUUUAUAUUUUGUAACUGUGGUUUGCAACAACGGUUACGGCCACAACGUAAGGGAUUCUAAAACUUCUACAACUGCAAUUCAAAAUACUAGAAGAAAAAAAAUUCAGUAGAACACCUUGAUAGAAGGUCGACUCUAGACCAGAACCUGAAAAUUUAUUCAAAACACCAAUGACAUUUGACAGGACUCAUCAUCCCCACGACUGAGUGGUUGACCUUAUCGGUGUUAGUUAGACAGAAAUACGAGUUGAGUUUUGAGCCACACAUAUCAAUUAUAUCUUGUUUGUUCCAAAUUGUAACCAAUCAGGUCACUAUCUCAGACGUUACAACAAGGAGGAAUAUGAAAUUCUACUCCCGAAAACCAAUAUCAGUCAUUGCUGAAGUUUCAAACGAUUUUUGAGUACUGAUCCACGAGUCGUGGAUCAGUACUUGAAAUUGUACACGACUGACCACGACUGGCCGCCUAUUAAAAUUGUACACCUUAUAACUUGCUAUAAACACUUGAGUAGUUGAGUUUCAACAAGUAAAACAACUAGAACUACAAGGACAAAAAGGAUUGAAAAAUUCAACAAUCCAUGCUGGACUUACCAAAAGACCAAUAAGGCAUAGGAGCAGGCCUACCAAUGAACUGAGUAUACUGAUCCAAAACCAAUUCAGGAGAUGAACCAGCAAAAAAAUACAAAUCAAAAACACCACCAAUCACCUUAUAAGUAAGACGAUCACCGCUAUAAACAACAUCCAUUCCAUUACUAUUAAGAAGUAAAACACCAUGUGUAGUCCCACUUUUCACUCUUCCAUCAGAUGAACCCUUUCUCACAUCCAAAUAAAAUGGAUGAGAGCCAUAAAGAUUCACAUCAACAUUAGAACUACCAAUAUCUUCAUUCCAAAGAGUGAAAGUUUGGUUUGGUUUCAACUUGAAAGAACUCUUUGUAUGCUCUCCAAAACCAUACAGAGAAGCUCUUUUUGAAGGCAGAGAGGUAGAAAUCUGCAAGUACUGUUCUUUGAAGACUAGAAAUGUUUCAGGGUUUAAAGGGUCUUCUGGUAAAGUGUUAAAGAGUAUAUCUUUGUUGGAUUUACGCGUGAUAGUGAAACCAAAUGGAGUUGUGUUGUGGAGUGUGAAGAUAAGAUCUGAGUUUGGAUGUGUAAUUAUGUAUUUUGAGUUUUGCGAAUUUUGUUGACGAAAAUGAUGAGAUAGAGAUGAAGAUGAUGAGUCUCUUGGAAUCAAUUCUUCUGGAACUUCCCAUCUUUGAUUAUUUGAAUCAGUGAUUCUUACUCUUAAUUUAUCCUUGGCCUCAAAACUGCAAUUCAGAGUUGAAAAUUUAGUCUUAUUUUGAACCAAAAAAAGUUUAAUAAUUUACUCAUAAAUAGAAACAUGGAUAUAAUCAUAUGAUUAUAUAUGUUUGAUUGCUUUUGAAACAAAAAAACAAUCUAGUAAAAUAAAAAGGACAACAAAAAAACAAUAAACUAUGAUUGGUUAUUGGUUAGUUAGUUAGUUAGUUACCUGGCACUGAGGUUGAGAAGUGGAAUGUCGGGUCCGAAAACCGAGGAGGAUUUGAUGAGUUUAAGGUUAGCAGACAAAGAUUUUCCUGUUGGAUCACUUUUUACACUUAUGAUUGUGUAGCCAUAACCAACUUGUGUUUCUUUUGAUGGUGAAUCUGCAACAGUUUGGGAUAAGAUGACAAAAACAUUGAAACAGAAAGCUAGUAGUGGUAGUAGAAUGUUGCUGGUUUUAGUUCUUGGACUUGUAACCAUUUUGUUUGUGUUGAUGUGUUUAUUGUCUGUGGGAGACAAUUGAAAAUAAUCAUCAAUUUAUGUUUUGUAUACAAGUUUGGU
RNAcentral lists this long non-coding RNA (12617 nucleotides) under Medicago truncatula (barrel medic). RNAcentral describes it as "long non-coding RNA (MTRU_LNC008190)". The record is from RNAcentral. Lineage: Eukaryota; Viridiplantae; Streptophyta; Magnoliopsida; Fabales; Fabaceae.